CCCCGCGUUAUAAAUAAAAUACAUCCUCGUCAAUAUUUCGGUUUCGGAUUGUCCGUAAAACAUCUCUUGUAUCAAUCAGCAACCUCAUUCGGGCAGUAUAAUGGCUGUUGGUUCUUUUGUCAUUUUCUGGAUUCAAGUGAUGUUUCUUGGAGGCAAUUAUUCAGUGCUAGUGCUCUGGAUAAGUAAUGUAAUACAGGCAUGGAAAUUUGAAGGACUCCCGGAACGUUACCGCAGAUAAUAGAAUUUCCAAUUCGUUGUGCUAACAGGUGCCAACCAAACAAAUUUAACAUUUGUCAGCAAAAUUGAUUGUGUGCGCACCAAAAAUGCACUUUACGUUCACAAACGUACAGAAAAACAUCCUAGAGGACCAAAAAAUACACGUUCAUGAUAAAAAUGGGAAAAUGUAUACCAAUCCAACACGGUAGCAUCGCAAAUUAAGAAUCAACCGUCGUUUAAUGACUUUAACAGCAAAUCCUAUCACAAGUUUCAUCAUCAGGCGGCUUGGGAACCAAGUCCAGCCAUUCGCAGGGCGGACUGUUCUUAUAAUACAACUUUAAUGGUGGAAUGUAUGCUACAUCUCCACAACUAUGUGGUGAUACUUCGGGAAAAUCGAAGGCAAUGGUAUCAUUUCCGCCAAAGACGUCGUGCACAUCUCGUAUAAAGUUGCCCGCUACGUUCUCCGCACAAUCUUCAGCAGGUCCCUGCGAUAACAGGACAUCAAAGCUAAAGUGGCCAGCUUGAUCGAAGUGCUUUGAUUAAAAGAUUGCAGCCCACCAAUAUGGACCAUUGGA
Molecule: long non-coding RNA, 791 nt
Organism: Sabethes cyaneus
Lineage: Eukaryota; Metazoa; Arthropoda; Insecta; Diptera; Culicidae
Exons: 3
Source: RefSeq, a predicted model, not a curated record